This is a small nucleolar RNA of 129 nucleotides. It matches the Rfam family "Small nucleolar RNA snoR74". The record is from Rfam.
AAAAAAGCAGGGCCAUGUUGCCUUCUGUGAACACGGCUCUCGUAAACUUCAGGAAAAGUAACUGCAUUAUUAUUGGGUGAACCUCUGUUGUUAUUGGUGACUGAAGGUUCAGUAAAUGAUGUCACAUUU